UUUAAUUAAUAAUUAGUAUGAUGAAGGCCAAUUCUUCAAAUUUUCAAAUUUUGAGGUUAUGAUUUUUUGAAUUUAACCAUAAUUGUCAAAGUUGGAUUGAGAGACAUAAAUCUUUAAAGAUACGUAUCUCAUAAAUUAAUUGAGAUAACGGCAUGAAAUGAAAAGGGUUUUAUAGCAAAUUUAAUUACAUUUUAAUACAUUAAAGGUCAUUUCUUUAAAUCUUAAAACAUUGGAAUUAUGAUCAUCUUCAAACUAACCACUUCUUUAUAAGAGAUUCAAUGUACUAAUGGGUUUAAUGAUUAUUAUUAGGUUGAUUAUUGUCGUAUAAUUGAUAUAUUGCACAUUUUCCCGAGAUUUUGACAUCUACCAGUUUAACCAAAAUAAUUUGUUUUCCCUCUAAUCGCAAGAAAUUUCAGUUAUUGGUACGUCGAGUAUUGGUACAAAAAAUCGUUUUGCCUACAAAUAAAAAAUUUUACAUUUUCUUUUUUUUGUUUAACAAUCUUUAAACUCUAAAUUUCUAAAUAACAAAUACUAAUACGUAAACAUUCUAUAUGGGGUAAAAAUAAAUAACCAGCAAAAUUAAUUCUUCUCCACUCUCACAAUAAUCACUUAAAAUAGUCUUAUUUUCAUCUCCUUAUUUUUGUAAAGAAAUAUUUUUUAAGAAACAAACAUCCUUAAGUUUUUUUUAAUCUUACUUUUUGAUUACAUUUUUAAUCCACAAAUCUGGUACAAGCUUUCUUCCACUUACACUGCGUACACCAUUGGUCCUUAUUAUCCAUACCAUAAACUUUCCGGCAUUUUUUACUAUCACCUCUCGCCCGACGUGGUGAUGCAGACAUUUUUAAUCCACCAAAUCCGCCAGGAGGUGACAUCUUUUUGUUCGCCAACGGUAUCGGGCCGCCCAUCAUUUUCUGACGAAUCGUACCAACAAGUUGACGUUGGUACUCUGGGUCUUCAUGAGGCGGACGGGUCAGAUCAAAAUGCGAAAGCGUUGGUUGUGGUGCUUGCAGCGUAGAAUGGUGUUCUUCCUCAUCUUCCUCUUUGAUAUCAUCGUAAUAGAAAAUUUCAUCACCUGGACAACUACAACAAAAAAAGGCCACCGACACCACCCGAAAAUAUCGUAAACGGAACUCGUAACGGGGCUUCAAGGAUACUUCGUUGAUCAACAACCUUGCUUUUAUAUUUAAACGGCGUCGAGCGGAUAAACAACGCGCGGAAUUCGCGUUGUAUUUUCGAUUUCGUUCGCGUAAACAGAAACGUUCGUCUACCAAAACGUUAUUUGUUGUUGUUAUUAUAGUGUGUUAACGAAUUAAAUUAUAAGAGGUAUAACUAAAAUCGUUUUAAAAUAAAUUUUGAUAACCUUUAAAGAAGUUGUCUACGAGAAACUUCAUCUUCAAAAAACUU
Molecule: non-coding RNA, 1404 nt
Organism: Onthophagus taurus
Lineage: Eukaryota; Metazoa; Arthropoda; Insecta; Coleoptera; Scarabaeidae
Source: RefSeq, a predicted model, not a curated record